GGCUCAGUGGUUAAGCGCCCCUGGGUUCAAUCCCUGGUACUAGAUGUCCUGAAUUUCAGAGUUCUCCAUACCAGGGCAGUGUGAAAAGACACAAGAAAAAAGGAAAAAAAAAGACACUGCAUCCUACAAGUGUGCAGAGCCCUAGUGACAGGCCCUGCUCGGGCUGUCAGGAGUGGGGGGGACCUGAGGGGAAACCCAGAACGGCAGGGCCAGGGAAUCACACUGACCUGGGAAUUUCAAAAUCCAUCUGUGUGGGCUCAAGCUCUGCUUUGAUCUCCUGGCAGUGUGAUCCCUUGGGGGAGGUUGGAUCCCCGGCUUCCUGUCCCUGCCCUGUUUCCCAGCCAGCCUGGAAAGCACUGCUUCCUGAUUCCUGCCCUGAGAGCCAAGAGCAGCCUCCUGGCCCCACAGGGGUCCAGACCCGGACUCCAGCAUGAAGACUUUUUGAUGAUAAUGAUAAUAUGACAUGUUGAUGAUGACAAUAACGUGACUUCAGAGCAAGAAUUCACUCCCUGCACACUCAGAUGGGCAAAGACGAUAUUGUCUGUCUCUGUCUCUUUUCUUCUGUUACUAAUGAGUCUGUCUUAGGAGCCACUUGGAGGUGUGGGAGCCGGAAAGGAAGGAGACGGCUUAUCAAGUAGGGCUCUUGGUCUCUUCUCCUGUUUGUUUCCUAGACAUACAUGCAUAUGAUGAAAUUUCAUUUUUUCACUCAAAGGAAGCACUUUAUGGUUUUUCUUUGGUGCAUCCAAAUUUCCAGAAUCACUACUCUUUUUUUUUUUUUUAAGCAUUUUGGAAGGGAAAGUAAAAUUUUUAUUGCUUAUUUAUUUUUUUUAUCUGGUGCUGAGGAUGGAACCCAGUGCCUCAUAUGUGCAAGGCAAGUACUCUGCCACUGAGCCGCGGCCCCAGCCCCCAGCAUCACUACUCUUGUGCUUUGGAACCAUUAUUAAGUAAAAUAAGGGUUACCUGAAUAUAAGCACUGCAGUGUUAUUGUGAGCAUCAAUCUGAUAACUGAGGCUCAGUGACUAAUGGGGGUGGGCAGUGGAGAGCGUAUAAGUUGCACAAAGGGAUGAUUCACCUCUCAAGCAGGACAGAGUGGGAUGGCGCAAGAUUUCAUCAUGUUCCUCAGAAUGCGGCACAAUUGAAAACUUAGGAAUUCUUUGUUUCUGGAAUUCUCCCUUUAAUAUUUUGGACUGCAGUCGACUGGUUUGCCUAGAAGACAAAAGGAGAGUCCACAAUAGAGGUAAGGUGUUGCC
RNAcentral lists this long non-coding RNA (1250 nucleotides) under Marmota monax (woodchuck). The record is from RNAcentral. Lineage: Eukaryota; Metazoa; Chordata; Mammalia; Rodentia; Sciuridae.